UACGAACUGUGCGACCGUUAUUCGGAAUCACUGGGCUUACAGGGUGCGUAGGCGGCUCAACAAGUCGGGUGUGAAAGCCUUGAGCUCAACUCAAGAAAUGCACUCGGUACUGGGUGACUAGAGGACCGGAGAGGAUAGUGGAAUUCCCAGUGUAGUGGUGAAAUACGUAGAGAUUGGGAAGAACACCAGUGGCGAAGGCGGCUAUCUGGACGGUUUCUGACGCUAAGACGCGAAAGCGUGGGGAGCAAACAGG
RNAcentral lists this ribosomal RNA (253 nucleotides) under uncultured bacterium. Its description in RNAcentral is "partial 16S ribosomal RNA". It matches the Rfam family "Bacterial small subunit ribosomal RNA", at positions 524 to 776 of the family's 1533-position model. The record is from RNAcentral.